UAAGAGAAGUCUGAAGCCGUUAGCAGUCUACAUGAAUGCAUGAUGACUGCAGUAACAUAUAUUUAUCCCACAAGUGAGGAGAGAAUUGAUUACUCUAGAGAACUAAAGCCAUAACUAAUUCACAGAGACUCUUUCUUAUGAUGAGGAUAAAUAUUCUGUGUCAUUCUGACCCAUAAAAUAUACUGUUUUUAUAGCAGACUCAUUGUAAUAAUUCAUCUUAAAUGUCUUAUGGACAUAUUUUCCUAUGAUUUCCAAAUAGGAAUCAUUGGACGUUCUUGUUUUCAAAAUAAGUUUAGGGAUUAAAAAUAAUAAGUAGCUUUAAGUAACAUUGUUAUACUUGCUUCAGAAAUAAAGAGAUAUAAUGUUGUGUACAUUAUAUGUUCCCUUCUUGAUAUUUAUCAAAAAUAACUUAUUGGUGCACAUUCACGGGUAUUUUGCAUAUUCACAGUUAUUCAUGGGUAUUUUUUGCAUAUUAUGGCUUGCUUCAGAAACUGAAGGUGUAUAUAGGAGACUCUAUUUGCAAAUGAACAAAUAGGCAAUAAGCUAAUCCCCCAGUGUGACAUUUUACUUCAGGUAAAAAUUACUUCCUAUUUCUUCUCAUCUACUGCUGCGCCAAUUUGAAACUAGUUUUUUAUUAAAAGGUAAAGGUAUUUGCUUACUUUUAUAAAUGCAUUGACACUUUUUUGAGUCUAUUAUAAAAGUUUGCUAUUUUAUCUUUUUUUAUUGGAAGGCUGAUGGAAGAUAGGAGUACACUGAGGAUCUUGGGACCGGGCUCUUAUGAAAGGGUUAGAACAAACCAUUUUGCUUUUGGUUGAUGUAAAUUAUCAGGUGGCUUAGAACAUAUUUGUGUCUUGUAUAUUAUGUUUAAUGUUGGCAAGAAGGAAAGAUUAAAGUAUGAUUUUAAAUGGCAUGAGUUAGAAAUGUUGGUGUUGAUAUUUUCUUAGACUUGUGGACUUCACUUAAUUCUUAGCCAGCAUUAGAAUUAAUAGAAACUGCAGAUACUUGAGGGUAGAGGGUGGGAGGAGGGAGAGGAGCAGGAAAGAUAGCUAUUGGCUACUGUGCUUAAUACCUAGGUGAUGAAAUAGUCUGUACAUGAGUACAUGGGUUUACCUAUGUAAUAAACCUUCACAUGUACCCCUGAACCUAAAAUAAUUGUUAAUAAGAAACUGCAGAUAUUCGUUGAUAUAAUGUUCCAUAUUUACAGAUGAAGACAAUCAGACUCAAAUAGGUUAAGCUGCCCAAAGUCACAGAGAUAAUUCAACAUAAAUGAAGAAGAAAGCUAAGCAAAUAGAGUUUUUAUUCUUUUUGUUUAUUUGAGGGAAAUGGGGUAGCAAAGGAAAAAAUCAAAGUAGCUGUAUGAAAUUUUUGAAUACGUAGAAUUUCUUCACAUUUCAGUGUUUAAUACAUUACUCUAAAGGGGCAAACAUACUAUUUUCCUUUAUCUAAAUGAAGCCAAGAUUGUUAUAAUGUCCAGAAAUAUAAAGAAAAGGACUGGAAAGAUAGAUAUUAGGUUCUGCAUGGCUAGAUUUGGGGUCACUUCAACAAAGACUGGCUUUUUAAUAGUAUCAGCCCACAUCUCCCAGUCCUAGAACCUUGCAGAGCUUCCUGUGGUUUCGCCUUUGGAGUUCAGUGUUUGGAUGGUCACCUUCAGGCUAGUACUUUCUAGGGAUCUGAACUUAUUGAGCUGAGUCACUUGGUUUGGUCCAAAUGGUCACUUGCAAGGCCGGUUAAAAUCUAUGUUUCCAUCUAUCUCUGAAUUAGUGGGUGAUAGAAAGUAGCCUGGGUGAAUUCUUUAAUUCUUUUACUUAUUGACUGUUGACUCUUAUUGGCCUUUUUCUGUAUAUAGCAAUAAUGCUAAUGAUAAUAAUUUCUUUGGAAAUACGUGAACCAUUCUUAGUCCUCAGAGUAUUUCUACAAGACCAUUUAUGUUGAUUCUCACCAUAACAGUUUGAGAGUGUAAACGAAGAUAUACUGGGGGAUAUUACAGUCAAUAGGUUGAAAGAAUUACAAGAGGUCAUUCAUUUAUUAAGCAGCUGCUAAGCACUGGUCAUUGCGUCAGGCAAACUGGUUAAUGUUGAAGCCAGGACAGAACCUACAGUCUGUGAUCUGGGUCUCACUUCUCUCAGCCCUUCUCUCCCUUUUCUCUUGCUUCUCUUUCUUUCUGCCCAUGCAGUGCAGCAGCUUUCCCUAGGGCCUAUUUACCAGGCUUCUGUUUUAAACUAUACAUUAUUUGUUCUCAGUUCAAGGUUAGCAGAUCUUGUCCACAUCCCUGUGGGAGAACCUAAUAAGCUCAGGUGAAGCGCAGCUCAACAUUGGGAACAACAGUAAAUGUUUGCACCAUUAAAGGUACUGAAUUGUUCCAUGUUAUCAACAGCAGCCUUUCAGUCAUACUCAUCUGAAAAAUGAAGCCUCUCUGAAAAUCACCACUUGAACUUAUGUCCAUGGACUGUGAUCACCUGUAGCCCUAUCUGUAAGCCAUCUGAAGUCCAGUGUCUGUGUUGUAUGUGAUUUCAUCUCAGUAGAGUGCAGUUUAGCACCUUAUUUUGUCAUGUAUAGAACUCUAAUAUAUUAAACAAAUAAUAAAAGUGGAACUCCCUCAUAAAUGAUUUAGAUAUUCUCCUUAUAUGAAAGGUCUUAUAGUAACAGAUAAUUUGUUCAACAGCAACUGUGUUUUGAAUAAUGCAGGGAAAGAAUGCUUCCUCCAUUUUGAACUGAUGAUGAAUAUAUCUGUGAGUGAAAAAGCAAUAAUAAAAGGUGGAUCCUGGAUUCUUCUCUAUGCCAUCUCUAAAAUGUAAAUGUUUGUUGAUUAAAUGCAUCUUAUUUGGGAACCAAAAAAAAAAACCAAGCAAAUAUUGGUUUUCAUGAGUCAUGUGCUCAUAUUCCAAAUGCAGAAUAGAAAGUUUAUGGAAAGACUCAAAUAUUGCUGUUUACCUUUAUUAUGCAAAACACUGUGAGUUGUUUUUUCUUCAUUUGUUAAUGCAAAAACACUGAUUUAAAAAAAUGAGACAAUGGAAUGAGCAAUUAUCAAAUGGUUUUUGCAAAAUGCAUUUAAAAUCUACUUUUUAAAAAUGAUUCAUUUGAAGCAUAUUAAAAGGUACACAUAAUAAAUAUAUUAUUAUACCAUUAUAUAAUAAUUAUACCAUUAUACUAGUGGCUUCAUGCUACGCUUACUAUAUGAACUGGCAGCAGGGAAUAAAAAUUUAUCUUGGUGCUUCUUAUCUUUUUCUUUUCUGGUAAUUUUAAGUCACUUUCUGUUGUUAUUCUUUAAUAAAUAGUCUAGGUAAGCAGCCAGGACUCUCCCAAAGCUGUGUUUAGGUAGGAAGAAUACAUGUUACUGACAAAAGUGUCAAGUGAGUUAGUUAAACAAGUCUUGGACAUUUCCAUCCCCUAUUCUAUAAUCCUCCCCUGGGUGCCUAGCCCUGUAACCUUAUGUGGCUCUCCAGGGGCCUACUUUUAAGACCUUCCCCCAAACCCACUCUUCCAAUGCAAACUUUCCUUCCCAAGGCUUUCUGUGGUCCAUUAACCAACAUGGGCCUGUUUUCUGACCCUUUUUUUUUUUUUAAUUUCAUCCUGGACCUAGCUAAAAACUAAGCCUUGUUAAUAAGCCAGUGAUGAGUUCCUGCAUUAUGCAUCCUCAGUAAGACAUAAAUGUACAUUAUAGGAAACAGCCUUAUGAUUUUUAUCUUAUUUAUACUUGCUUUGUGUGUCUAUUUAGGAAAAAAAGAUAAUAUAAGAUGGUACGAUAUUCCCAGUAUAACACUAUGUAUUUCAGGUGACAGAAAGUAGAGUUAUGUUUUCCUUUUUAAAUGAAAAUAGAAUAUUAAAAUGAGAGUCAGAGGACCUGAGCCCUACUCUCAGCUCUGCCACUAACAGGCUUUGUAAUCUCAUACAACUUAAUUAGUUAUGUAUCUCCCACAAGAUUUUUAAUUUCUUUUUUUGUUAUUAUUAUACUUUAAGUUCUAGGGUACAUGUGCACAACGUGCAGGUUUGUUACAUAUGUAUACAUGUGCCAUGUUGGUGUGCUGCACCCAUUAACUCGUCAUUUACAUUAGGUAUUUCUCCUAAUGCUAUCCCUACCCACUCCCACCAUCCCACAACAGGCCCCGGUGUGUGAUGUUCCCCUCCCUGUGUCUAAGUGUUCUCAUUGUUCAAUUCCCACCUAUGAGUGAGAACAUGUGGUGUUUGGUUUUCUGUCCUUGCAAUAGUUUGCUGAGAAUGAUGGUUUCCAGCUUCAUCCAUGUCCCUACAAAGGACAUGAACUCAUCCUUUUUUAUGGCUGCAUAGUAUUCCAUGGUGUAUAUGUGCCACAUUUUCUUAAUCCAGUCAAUCAUUGAUGGGCAUUUGGGUUGUUUCCAAGUCUUUUCUAUUGUGAAUAGCCCCGCAGUACAAAUACAUGUGCACGUGUCUUUAUAGCACCAUGAUUUAUAAUCCUUUGGGUAUAUACCCAGUAAUGGGAUCACUGGGUCAAAUGGUAUUUCUAGUUCUAGAUCCUUGAGGAAUUGCCACACUGUCUUCCACAAUAGUUGAACUAGUUUACACUCCCACCAACAGUGUAAAAGUGUUCCUAUUUCUCCACAUCCUCUCCAGCACCUGUUGUUUCCUGACUUUGAAUGAUCACCAUUCUAACUGGUGUAAGAUGGUAUCUCAUUGUGGUUUUGAUUUGCAUUUCUCUGAUGAGCAGUGAUGAUGAGCAUUUUUUCAUGUGUCUGUUGGCUGCAUAAAUGUCUUCUUUUGAGAAGUGUCUGUUCAUAUCCUUUGCCCACUUUGUGAUGGGGUUGUUUGAUUUUUUUCUUGUAAAUUUAAGUUCUUUGUAGAUUCUGGAUAUUAGCCCUUUGUCAGAUGGGUAGAUUGCAAAAAUUUUCUCCCAUUCUCUAGGUUGCCUGUUCACUCCAAUGGUAGUUUCUUUUGCUGUGGAGAAGCUCUUUAGUUUAACUAGAUCCCAUUUGUCUAUUUUGGCUUUUGUUGCCGUUGCUUUUGGUGUUUUAGUCAUGAAGUCCUUGUCCAUGCCUAUGUCCUGAAUGGUAUUGCCUAGGUUUUCUUCUAGGCUUUUUAUGGUUUUAGGUCUAACAGUUAAGUCUUUAAUCCAUCUUGAAUUAAUUUUUGUACAAGGUGUAAGGAAGGGAUCCAGUUUCAGCUUUCUACAUAUGGCUAGCCAGUUUUCCCAGCACCAUUUAUUAAAUAGGGAAUUGUUUCCCCAUUUCUUGUUUUUGUCAGGUUUGUCGAAAUUCAGAUGGUUGUAGAUGUGUGGUAUUAUUUCUGAGGGCUCUGUUCUGUUCCAUUGGUCUAUAUCUCUGUUUUGGUACCAGUACCAUGCUGUUUUGGUUACUGUAGCCUUGAUAAACUAGGUAUUGAUUGGACAUAUCUCAAAAUAAUAACAGCUAUAUAUGACAAACCCACAGCCAAUAUCAUACUGAAUGGGCAAAAACUGGAAGCAUUCCCUUUGAAAACUGGCACAAGACAGGGAUGCCCUCUCUCACCACUCCUAUUCAACAUAGUGUUGGAAGUUCUGGCCAGGGCAAUUAGGCAGGAGAAAGAAAUAAAGGGUAUCAAUUAGGAAAAGAGGAAGUCAAAUUGUCCCUGUUUGCAGAUGACGUGAUUGUAUAUCUAGAAAACCCCAUCGUCUCAGCCCAAAAUCUUAAGCUGAUAAACAACUUCAGCAAAGUCUCAGGAUACAAAAUCAAUGUAGAAAAAUCACAAGCAUUCUUAUACACCAACAACAGACAAACAGAGAGCCAAAUCAUGAGUGAACUCCCAUUCACAAUUGCUUCAAAGAGAAUAAAAUACCUAGGAAUCCAGCUUACAAGGGAUGUGAAGGACCUCUUCAAGGAGAACUACAAACGGCUGCUCAACAAAAUAAAAGAGGACACAAACAAAUGGAAGAACAUUCCAUGCUCAUGGGUAGGAAGAAUCAAUAUCAUGAAAAUGGCCAUACUGCCCAAGGUAAUUUAUAGAUUCAAUGCCAUCCCCAUCAAGCUAUCAAUGACUUUCUUCACAGAAUUGGAAAAAACUACUUUAAAGUUCAUAUGGAACCAAAAAAGAGCCCGCAUUGCCAACACAAUCCUAAGCAAAAAGAACAAAGCUGGAGGCAUCACGCUACCUGACUUCUAGAUUUUUAAUUUCUUAAGGGUAGAACUGAAGCACAUAAUCCCAGUACUGUGGGAGGCCGAGGCAAGAGGAUCACUUGAGCCCUGGAGUUCAAGACCAGCCUAGGCAACAUAGCAAGACCCCGUAUCUACAAAAAAUAAAUUUAAAAAUUAUCUGGAUGUAGUUUGUUGCACCUGCAGUCCCAGCAACUCAGGAGUCUGAGAUGGGAGGAUUGCCUGAGCCCAAGAGUUUGAGGCUGCAGUGAGCCAUGAUAGAGCCACUGUGCUCCAGCCUGAACAAUAGAGCAAAUAGAGCAAAAUAUCCUGUUUCAAAUAAAAGGAUAGAAUUGAUGUUCAUUCAUAUUUAUCUCCAACAGUGAUUAGCAUAAUACCAUUUACAUAAUAGAUCUUCAAUAUACAGAUAUCUCCCAUGAUUUUCAGGCAAAUGGAGAAUUAAGGUGGACCUUAGGAGAGAAGUCAAAGCCAAAAAUGUAAAUUUUUGUGUUAUCAGCAUAGAGGUAUAACCUCAGGACCUUUGAAAUGGACAGGCUGAAGGAAGGUGAGAGAGAGCAUAUGGGAAGUGAAAACAUUAAAUUCAGGAACUUUGGAGCCACAAAAGUUUAGGGCGUGGUUGGAAGAAGAAAAGAAAAUUAAUUAGAUUUUAAAGCACAACAAUUAAAUAGAAAGCAAACCAAGAUAGUACAAUAUGUGGAGGGCAAGAGAGGAGAUCAUUUGGAAUGGUGAAUCUUUACCGGGACAGUUUUGCCCCCUAGGAACAUUCAGCAAUGUCUGGAAACAGAAACACAACCCAGUGGGUGUUAAUGCCCACUGUAGGUAGGGGCCAGGGAUGCUGCUAAGCAUCCUACAUUGAAAAGGGUAGCUCCCACGACCAAGAGUUAUCCAGCUAUCCUACAUUGGAAAGGGUAGCUCCCACGACCAAGAGUUAUCCAGCUAUCCUACAUUGGAAAGGGUAGCUCCCACGACCAAGAGUUAUCCAGCUAUCCUACAUUGGAAAGGGUAGCUCCCACGACCAAGAGUUAUCCAGCUAUCCUACAUUGGAAAGGGUAGCUCCCACGACCAAGAGUUAUCCAGCUAUCCUACAUUGGAAAGGGUAGCUCCCACGACCAAGAGUUAUCCAGCUAUCCUACAUUGGAAAGGGUAGCUCCCACGACCAAGAGUUAUCCAGCUGAAGAUGUCAAUACUGCCAAGUGUGAGAAAUCACAAUGUGUAAGGUCAUGGUCAACAGUGUUAGAUGCCCUAAGAAUCUGAGAAAAGGUUACAUUAUUUGGUAAUUAGUGGUGACUUUUUUGAAAAAGUUUCUCUACAUUAUGAAAGGAUAACGUUGGUGAAAGUGGGUAGCGAGACAGAGUUUACAAGACAUGAUGAUUUCUGAGAAGUUGGAAAGUAAGGUGGAAGGGUUAUUUUGUUUCUAAGAAUCAAAGAGACUUGACCCUGUUUCCAUAUUAAGAAGAGUUAAGAGAGUGAGGGAAGUGAGGGAGGAUGGGAAGGAGAGAGGGAGGGAAAGAGAUUAAAAGUGUGAAAAAGAGACGAGCAAUGCAUAUUAUUUCCUUAUAAUAAUAAGGAAAGUAAAGGUUAAGAGUGCAGAAAAGAGUUGGAGAAGAUCGUUUUGAGGAUGAAAAAGGAAGGGAUAGGUAAAUGAAUGGAAUUUUAAAAUGCAGAGAUACUGGAGAAGUUCACAAAAGAUGACCUUUCUCAGUGAAGUAGUAAAGUAUAAAUGGCCGAGAUUAAAAGAGGAGAGAUUGGCAACUAGAAAACAAAUUGAUAGCAGUCUUCCUGGAAGAUGGAUAAGGAAUAGGCUGGUGAUGACUGAAAGUUUUAUGGAAUGAUGUUGAAAACUCAGCUGACUUUGGAAAGCAUAAGUAGUGGGUUCAGUCAUCACAUUUAAAGUGGUUCCUCUAGAAAUGCCUAGUAGACAAAAGAAAAGGAAAGCAAACACAGAUGUUCAGCCGGACUAAGGGUGAGGAGUUGGCAAGACCCAACUGUGGUAUCAGAUCAAGGGCAUGAAAGGAGCAAAAAAAGACGCAGUUGAAAGGGUGCACCGUGUUUUGGGGCCGGGUCAUGAGGACUCUCAGCUCAGAGGAAGGGAAGCUGGUAAACUGGGGAACGGAGGGACUGAAGAAGUGAAAAUAUUGCAGAGGGCAAAUAGCUGAUCCAAUUUUAGGUGAUGAGGAGAAUAAAGUUGUUUCACUGUGGGGAACCUUCUGCAGUAAAGCGGCAUAAAAGUUGCCAGAAAGGAAAAAAAUGUCAUUUUUCCGGAGUCUCUGUUUUUAAAGUUAGGAACUGUCCUUGCCUUCAGGCAUCUUAAAGGGAAAAUAUUCUGUGAGUUAUUUCUACAUUUGCUGGCCUGUGUUGAUCAUUUUCUUCAGAUAUUCACAACUCUAUAAUAUGUAGGCAAUCCAUUCUUUUUGGGCUCAAAUAUAGACUUAGUCCAGAAUCUAUACUUCACUCUACUCCUUACUAGAUAAAUAACCUCAGGCAAGACAUUUCACCAACCUUUUUCUUUUUCUAUUUCUUUCUCUUUUUUUUUUUUUUUUCCACCUGCAAGAUGGGACUCAUGAGUUCUAGCUUCCGAGGCUGUCCUGAGGAUAAAUCAUGUACAACUAUAAAAUAUGUUAGGUUUAAAAUUAGCAAGAAAAAAACAAACAAUCCCAUCAAAAAACAGGUUAAGGACAUGAAUAGACAAUUCUCAAAAGAAGAUACACAAAUGACCAGCAAACAUGUGAAAAAAUGCUCAACAUCACUAACGAUCAGGGAAAUGCAAAUCAAAACCACAAUGUGAUACCACCUUACUCCUGCAAGAAUGGCCAUAAUAAAAAAAAUUUUAAAAAAUAGAUGUUGGCAUGGAUGCAGUGAAAAGGGAACAAUGUACACUGCUUGUGGGAAUGUAAACUAGUACAGCCACUAUGGAAAACAGUGUGGACAUUCCUUAAAUAACUAAAAGUAGAACUACCAUUUGAUCCAGCAAUCUCACUUCUGGGUAUCUACCCAGAAGAAAAUAAGUCAUUAUUUACAAAAGAUACUUAAACAUGCAUGUUUAUAGUAGCACAAUUCGCAACUGCAAAAAUGUGGAACCAGCCCAAAUUCCCAUGAAUCAACAAGUGGAUGAAGAAACUGUGGUAUAUAUGUAUAAUGGAAUACUACUCAGCCAUAAAAAAGGAAUGAAUUAAUAGCAUUCACAGCAACCUGGAUGAGAUUGGAGACUAUUAUCCUAAGUGAAGAAACUCAGGAAUGGAAAACCAAACAUUGUAUGUUCUCACUCAUAAAUAGGAGCCAAACUAUGAGGAUUCAAGGGCAUAAGAAUGGACUUUGGGGACUCAGGGAAAAAGGGUGGGAAGGGGACGAGGGUUAAAAGAUUACCAAUUACGUUCUUGUAUGCUGCUUAGGUGACGGGUGCACCGAAAUCUCACAAAUCACCACUAAGGAACUUACUCAUGUAACCAAAUGCCACCUAUUCCCCAAAAACCUAUGGAAAUAAGAAAUUUUUAAAAAAUACAUUAGGUACCAGGUGCAGUGGCUGACGCUUUUAAUCCCAGCACUUUGGGAGGCCAAGGCGGGUGGAUCAACUGAGGUCAGGAGUUCAAGACCAGCCUGGCCAACAUGGUGAAACCCUGUCUCUACUAAAAAUAUAAAAAAUUAGCUGGGCAUGGUGGUCCAUGCCUGUAAUCCCAGCCACUCAGGAGGCUGAGACAGAAGAAUCACUCGAACCUGGGAGGUGGAGGUUGCAGUGAGCCAAGAUGGCAGCAUUGCACUCCAGCCUGAGCAACAAGAGCGAGACUCCGUCUCAAAAAAAAAAACAAAAAAAAAAAGUUUUUUUAAUAAUUUAAAAGAUUCAUAUUUUUCUAUUCUCAUCUGUAUUAGUGGCCUCACUGGUGGCCAAUCUUCUGCCUGACUUACCACCUGUUAUUCUUCAACCAGCAGAAAAUCCUAUUCUGCCCGAGUUUUAUUUUUCAAA
Molecule: long non-coding RNA, 10056 nt
Filed under: Homo sapiens (human)
Lineage: Eukaryota; Metazoa; Chordata; Mammalia; Primates; Hominidae
Description: non-protein coding lnc-GPR180-8:1
Source: RNAcentral